UUCAAAUUUUAACAUUUUGUGAUUACUAAUUUAACAUUUACAACGUACGCAUGUUAUAGUUAGCUUCCAAUUUUGAUUAAAAUGUUACUAGAAUGAUGAUCAAAUUUGUUAGAAAUGUAAGAGGAGAGUAAUUAUGAUUUAGUAAAGAAAACCAUGGAACUAAAUUAUAAAUACGCAACAUCUAUGUAGUUAUUUUCCUAAGGCUCGAUCGAUUGUCGUUUAGGUGGAUUUACGCUAUGUUUCAGUAUUACCAACUGUGGCUUGGGGAAAUUAGUCUAGAUUAAGGUUCGGAUCACCUACGGUUAGCCAAAAAAAUAUCUAUAUAUAUUUAUUUAUUUUUUAUUUUUUUCAAAAUAGACAAUCUUACUAAAAAAAUACAAUAUAAAAAUAAGAAAUAUAAUAUAGACAAAUCUCCAAAAUAGCACAUUUCUAAGUUUAUGUCACAAAAAUAGCCCUCAAAAACUAAAAUGACCAAAAUAGCAUUUUAUCCUUUGAAAAAUUUAAAUUUUUCUUAUUUUUCAAAAUCUAAAUCCUAAACCCCAAACCAUAAACCAUAAACCCAAAACCCAACUCCCCAACUCUAAACCCUAAACCCUAAAUCCUAAACCCUAAACCCUAAAUCCUAAACCCCACCCCUUAACUCUAAACCCUAAACCCUAACCCCACCCCUAAAUUCUAAACCUUAAACCCUAAACUCUAAACCCUAAACCCUAAACUCCACUCCUUAACUUUAAACCUUAAUGUCUAAAUUAAUUUACCGUUGGGGUAUAAGUGUAUAUUUAUCUCUUUUGAUAAAACAUUAAGUACUAUUUUGGUCAUUUUUAUUUUUAGAGGUUAUAUUUGUGACAAAAAAAAUUUUU
RNAcentral lists this long non-coding RNA (860 nucleotides) under Brassica napus (rape). Its description in RNAcentral is "long non-coding RNA (BNAP_LNC015332)". The record is from RNAcentral. Lineage: Eukaryota; Viridiplantae; Streptophyta; Magnoliopsida; Brassicales; Brassicaceae.